CUUUACUCUAGCUUGGCACUGAGUCGUACAUAUAUUUGUGCAGGAUAGGUGGGAGACUAUGAAAGAUGGACGCCAGUUCAUCUCGAGUCGUCGUUGAGAUACCACCCUUGUAUAUGUGUGCCUCUAACCCCUUUUUGGGGGACCGUGCUUGGUGGGGAGUUUAACUGGGGCGGUUGCCUCCUAAAACGUAACGGAGGCGCACAAAGGUAGGCUAGGUCCGGAUGGAAAUCGGACUGGUCGUGUAUUCGCACAAGCCUGCUUGACUGAGAGACCUACAAGUCGAUCAGAGACGAAAGUCGGUGAAAGUGACCCGGCACCAACAUGUGGGAGUGGUGUCGCUCAACGGAUAAAAGUUA
This 356-nucleotide ribosomal RNA is filed under the name uncultured organism. RNAcentral describes it as "bacterial LSU rRNA". It matches the Rfam family "Bacterial large subunit ribosomal RNA", at positions 2099 to 2465 of the family's 2925-position model. The record is from RNAcentral.